Molecule: long non-coding RNA, 3015 nt
Organism: Oncorhynchus mykiss (rainbow trout)
Lineage: Eukaryota; Metazoa; Chordata; Actinopteri; Salmoniformes; Salmonidae
Source: RefSeq, a predicted model, not a curated record
GCUCCACCGGCCUUCGCUCUGAUUGGAGAAGCUGUCUCUCCCAGACAGAGGGGGACCUUGAGUUACCGCAGACUGCCGAGUAAGCACGGAGCAGUCUGACUGUACACUACUGCAGACGUAAUGGGGGGCCUGGCCCCGAGCCAACAGCAAGCUAGUUAGUUAAAGACGGUGGCAGUUGGGUCAACGCAGCCGUAUAUGGGGUUCUGUCCCCGCAAGGCUGUUUGCCGUUUUUACGAGCUUCACGUAUGCAACAUUGUGCCAGUAAAAUUGAAACUUCAUCAGCGCCAGCUGGCCUCCCCACCGCUAGCUGGCUAGCGAACUAAUGGAAAUUACUUUAGUAUAACUGGGCUUCAAUCUUCCCACACUUGCCCUGAUGCCAGACUGACUAUGCAGUAGAAAUGCGGCUCUUGCAGAUAAUCAAGGUACCAGUUUAACCCACAGACUGAAAUUAACAGGCUAUGAUGGCUCCCCUGAGAAAAGACUGCAGGUCACUGUCGGUCGGACCAAAGGGGAGCAGCAACAAAACAACUCACCAGUCCUUCCCUUCACUCCUUCCUGGGAGAAACAAAACACUGUCAUCAUAAAGAACAAAUGGGAGAGAAAAAAAAGUAUUUUAAUUUCUGAUUUUUGUAAUCAUGUCUAACCUUUCUUGGGGGGAAGGGAAAGGGGGGGUAUAGAUGACAUCAUGAUGACUCUGAAGUUUCAUACCUUCUCUGUCUAUUUUUGUGAUUUAUUAACACAUUAGAUAGAUAUUCAGUAGCUUGUUAGGGACUCUAAGCCUUGAUGAUAUGUUUGUUUUCAGGAAGGAGAGGAAAAGCCGAAUGACACAAAGCAAUGUAAUAACAGUCUCCAACAGCAGAGACCUAGCCUGAUCCCAGGUCUGUUUGUGCUGUCUUCCAUGGCUUUGGUGACUGCCCAAACAGAUCUGGAACCAGGCUAGCAGAGACCCACGUCUACGUUUACGAAUUCUACAGGUGGCCCCUUGUGGGCUGAGUACAGUAACUGACAAGCAGCAGCAUGUCAUCCACUCUGCCACAGAACAAAUCACAGUUCAAACAGCAGCAUUAUCCUCCUAUUUAUGUUUUAACACUCACUCAGUUCUCUGCACUGUUCACACACUCAACUGCAGUAUGUGAUCGCUCCUUAACACAGUAUUAAGCUAGGCCUAGACCUGUAUCAUUAUCUCUACAAAACACACUCUUCAACGUCUUGGAAGGGAGUGGUUGCACCUCGAAGCGGAACCAUUCAAACGUUAGGUUCAAGAUUUUACUUUUUAACAGUCCUAAUUGCUCUGCUCUUCGGGUGAUUCACACCCUUCAGCUCUCAUUCUUCUCUCAUUCUCAAAACUCUUAAUAUUUACACACUCUACAGUAUUUACUGAGGCUAAGAGUCCCCCCUUUUUCCAUGUUAGCUAGUAAAUGCUUCCUAGUGUGUUUUUGUAUUUUAAACGUUUAUGCUUUUAAGUAGGUUUGCUUUUUAAAAUUUUUAGAAUGUUUGUUGCUAGUAUAAAACCAUGUGUAGACAGUUAUGUACGCUGUGAUGUAGCCUAUAGAAGUAGCUAUAGUAGAAAUGCAUUGUUCCCUUGUGGUAAGUGAGUGAGAUGCUGCCACGGAACUGAGACACUGAUGAUUGGUGCUAUUUUGGACUUUAAUCUGCUCCUUGGAAAGGUAGCCGAGAUGGGUUUUCUUGUUUUACUUUCACAUUCUGAGUAAAGAAGGUGUUGGUUCUUUGUUGUCAUGGUUGUUGUAACUUGGUCUGGAUUGGCUUAGUUUUUCACUGUUUUCUGUGCGGCUUUCUCAUUGGAUUUAAGAUUUGAGGAAAUAUAAACUUUUAUCAUGGUCAAUGUUUUACUAAAGGAAAAGAGGAUACAUGUGAGAAGAUUUGAGGAUAUACCAUGUUGAUGGGAGCAAUCACAAAACUGCAAUUGUUAAAAACACUAGUUACCCUUUAAUACUGACAUGUGCAUUCAAAGGUAUACAAUGUAUCUAGUAGUACCCAGCACUGGUCACUUUUAGAAAAUGUUAAGCUUAAGUGUGUUUUGAUUGACAGACAAUCUCGAAACCAAGAGUGCAGUUCUGCCCCUAGCAUGUUUGUGUGUAACGGAGAUCUAAGAGAUUUUGCACACAUACGAGUGAGUUAUGAAUUUGUCACAUGGAAACAUAGAGUUAAAUGCUAAAAGGAAUGAACACACUCGAUGUGUUUUAAGGCCCAGCCUGUUUGGGUUUGGGUUCAGGGUUUCAACUUUUCCUCAUCUCCUUCACCAGCUGGAUAUGACUUAAUCCUAUAGAGUCAUGUGUGACUUAAUGUUAGUUAACGUGAGACUGGAAUCACAUGAUGCAUAUAAUCUUGUUUUAAAAAAUUGAAUACAAUUUUCCAAAUGGUGCACAUGUAGCAAAGUUAGAAUAGAACAAUCUUUUUAAUUUAUGUAUUUUUUUUGAAUGAUUUUGUAAAUGAAUGUUGAUGAGAAGCUUACUUUGUUAUAAAACAGACAAACUAAAACCAAAAAGCUUUUUAUUGUUUUUAGCUAUAGAUUUAAAACAUCAAAGUAAUGUCAGUAUUUGCAGUUUUGUCUUUGCUUCCCUGUUAAUUUAUUUAGUUAAAGAUUCUAAUAUUAAUAUGAUAAUAACCAACUUGAAAGCCCAUGUUGUUGUUCUUUUGUCUUCCAUUCUCCCUCUAUUCUAGGGACCUUUUUGUACCAGCAUGCUCUAGUGUUAUUGAUCGCUUGCUCUCUUCCUCAUUGAGUUGAUUUGUUACACAUUUUUCCUCUUGCAGUUCUUUCCUUUCAGACUAGUUAAUAUGUAAGCUAUUUUGUACAUAGCAAAGUGAAUAGCAUAUGCAGGAUGUGCUGUAGUGUGUUGAGUCAGGUAUUCAGUAAUUACCACUGUAUAUGGUUGGAAAAAAACACGAUAUGCCAGCUUUGCAAAAUUAUUACAACGAUGCACUUAACUUACAGUAUCCCAUGUAUUUUUUUUUGGCAAUUUUAAAAGUAGUGCAAUAAAUAUGCAAGCUCGUAAA